This 207-nucleotide ribosomal RNA is filed under the name uncultured bacterium. RNAcentral describes it as "partial 16S ribosomal RNA". It matches the Rfam family "Bacterial small subunit ribosomal RNA", at positions 568 to 774 of the family's 1533-position model. The record is from RNAcentral.
UGCGUAGGCGGUCUCGCAAGUCUGGCGUGAAAGCCCAGGGCUCAGCCCCGGAAGUGCGCUAGAAACUGCGAGGCUUGAGUGCCGGAGGGGAGAGUGGAAUUCCCGGUGUAGCGGUGAAAUGCGUAGAUAUCGGGAGGAAUACCGGUGGCGAAAGCGACUCUCUGGACGGCAACUGACGCUGAGGCACGAAAGCGUGGGGAGCAAACA